RNAcentral lists this ribosomal RNA (505 nucleotides) under uncultured bacterium. RNAcentral describes it as "bacterial SSU rRNA". It matches the Rfam family "Bacterial small subunit ribosomal RNA", at positions 28 to 525 of the family's 1533-position model. The record is from RNAcentral.
GACGAACGCUGGCGGCGUGGAUUAGGCAUGCAAGUCGAACGGUAGGAUACCUUCGGGUAUCUGAGAGUGGCGAACGGGUGAGUAACACGUAGGUGAUCUACCCUCAAGAUUGGGACAACCCAGGGAAACUUGGGCUAAUACCGGAUGUGAGCAACUUUUAGUUGUUUGAAAGGUGGCGUAAGCUGUCGCUUGGGGAUGAGCCUGCGUCCUAUUAGUUAGUUGGUGAGGUAACGGCUCACCUAGGCAAUGAUAGGUAGGCGGCCUUAACGGGUGGUCGCCCACACUGGGAUUGAGAUACGGCCCAGACUCCUACGGGAGGCAGCAGUCGAGAAUAGUCUACAAUGGUCGGAAGACUGAUAGUGCGACGCCGCGUGAACGAUGAAUCCCUUCGGGGUGUAAAGUUCUUUUAUAUGUGAGCAGUGCUUCUUAUAUUAACAGUAUGGGGAGAGAGAUAUUAGCAUAUGAAUAAGCAACGGCUAACUCCGUGCCAGCAGCCGCGGUAAAC